Platichthys flesus (European flounder) is the source of this 837-nucleotide long non-coding RNA. RefSeq lists it as uncharacterized. Lineage: Eukaryota; Metazoa; Chordata; Actinopteri; Pleuronectiformes; Pleuronectidae. The transcript has 2 exons. The record is from RefSeq and is a predicted model, not a curated record.
UCAAAAAGGUUUCAGGUGAGAUUCAUAAAUAUAAUUUCAUUAUCUAGGUAAUUUGCAUGUGGAAUUAAACUGGCACAGACUUUAUCUUGUUUUUUGUUUAUGGAUUUAUCGACGAGGAGCAGUGAGAGUCCAGCUCUGAUCACAUGUGAUGACACAGAAUGAAACGAGUGAAGCUCCGAUUGAUCAGAUCUGUGGCAACGAGACAGAAUCAUGUGUUUUAUUAACUCUGACCGCAAAACAUAACAAACCAAAAAAAGGAAAUCUUCUUAAUGCAUUAAAAGAAAAUACAUAUUUCUAUCCCCUCACAGUCCUCAGACGUGCUGUGGACCGCUGCCUGCCGUUUGUCAGGGGACGGCGUUGUUCAAGGUUCAGAGCUGAUACCGAAUGAGGGCGGGUCAAAGUCCUUCCACUGACCUCAGGUCUGCUUAUAGAAUCACUUUCACGAUAAAUCAUUUCUGGACGGCUUGACCCAGUUUGCUGAGUCAGCGUCGUGUUUCUCACAGAUGUAACAGUCGCUCAGAUCCUAAAGAUGGACGACGUGACCGCUCCCAAAGUGAAGCAGCACAGGUCAUGACCCCUCCUCCUCCAUGUUAGCAGACGGGACAUGGACUAAACUGAAAGCAGACCUUAAAUAAAUGUUAAAAGAUGGUUUCUGUCAUUUCAGGUCGUUCUUAUCUCACUGUUCCUGAUCGGUUUGGUUUUAAUUUGUUAGUUGAUGAUAUACAAAUGAUUGACAGCUGACUCCUGCUAUUAGCAACAAAUGUUAUUCAAAUAAAACUGUAUUGAUUUAGUGUGGGAGUCACAUGGAUGAAAUAAAUCUUUUUCCCCUGGUUUAAA